GGAUGGGGAGGACAGGGGAGUCCUAAGGUGGAAGGGUACCGGUUUGUCCUUGCCACAGAGAGUGCGUGUGGUGAAGGGAUUUAAUUUAAGAUCAGCCCCGGGCUUCUGAGAAUCUGGCCCUGGGAAGCAACGUAAAUACAAGAAAAUCCCUGUGGCCAGGGACUUUGAUCCAAGUGUUUCGAAUCAGGCCCUGGGUCGGGCUCACAGCUAAGCGGUUUACCAACCGUGGACCUAUGCAGGAUCCCAUAGAUGUGAGGGGUGGAGACGGCCGCAAGCAGGAGGCCAGAACCAGAAGGAAACGGAAUUUGGGUGGGGGUGGGGAGCUAGGACCAGUCCCCCCGCGGGGGCGUCUUGGGGAUGUGGAACUCGCACACCCAGAGGAGGUGGCUCUCCCAGGGGUGGGCCCCGGAUCCUAGGGGCGCGGGGCUGGCCCCGCUCCCCGCCGGCCUCGCGGCAACUGGGCCUCCCCCUCGCUGCACGCAGCCCUCCCAGCUCCCCCGCCCGCCCUCGCUCCCGCUGGGCCCCGCAGCCGGAGGAGGGGCGGCCUCCCGCCCCCGCCCGCUGGAUCUCAGAGUCGCCGCCCCCGGCGCCGGGCUGCAACCGCCACGCCCCGGGAGAGGACCGACCGCCCAGACCGCCGGUCCCGGGGCCCCCUGGGCCACGCCGAUCACGGGGAGCCCCUCGACUGCCUCCCAGAGCAAAGUGAGAAAGGGAAGCUUAGCCCGCCGCUGCCGCCUCCGAGCAGCCCGCCAGAUUUCCAGUUGUCCCAGCACCAUUUGUUGAAAAGAGUCUUUUUC
Molecule: long non-coding RNA, 797 nt
Filed under: Pan troglodytes (chimpanzee)
Lineage: Eukaryota; Metazoa; Chordata; Mammalia; Primates; Hominidae
Description: long non-coding RNA NONPTRT008529
Source: RNAcentral